RNAcentral lists this transfer RNA (76 nucleotides) under Candidatus Dojkabacteria bacterium. RNAcentral's name for it is "tRNA-Thr". It matches the Rfam family "tRNA". From Rfam's summary of the family: Transfer RNA (tRNA) molecules are approximately 80 nucleotides in length. Their secondary structure includes four short double-helical elements and three loops (D, anti-codon, and T loops). Further hydrogen bonds mediate the characteristic L-shaped molecular structure. tRNAs have two regions of fundamental functional importance: the anti-codon, which is responsible for specific mRNA codon recognition, and the 3' end, to which the tRNAs corresponding amino acid is attached (by aminoacyl-tRNA synthetases). tRNAs cope with the degeneracy of the genetic code in two manners: having more than one tRNA (with a specific anti-codon) for a particular amino acid; and 'wobble' base-pairing, i.e. permitting non-standard base-pairing at the 3rd anti-codon position. The record is from RNAcentral.
GCCACUUUAGCUCAGCUGGUAGAGCGUCGGUAUCGUAAACCGCAGGUCGUGGGUUCAAAUCCCACAAGUGGCUCCA